Molecule: ribosomal RNA, 108 nt
Filed under: Candidatus Giovannonibacteria bacterium RIFCSPHIGHO2_01_FULL_45_23
Lineage: Bacteria; Candidatus Giovannoniibacteriota
Also listed under: 2 other names
Source: RNAcentral
UUCGGUGGUUUGACGCGAUGGAACUACCUCUUACCAUUCCGAACAGAGAAGUAAAACAUCGUAGUGCCGAUGAUACUCCGCAAGGGGGAAAGUAGGUAACCGCCGGUA